AGCAGCCGCGGUAAUUCCAGCUCCAAUAGCGUAUAUUAAAGUUGUUGCAGUUAAAAGCUCGUAGUUGAAUUUCGGGAUCAAUAUGUUGGUCGUGCCUCGGUACGUACUAGCUUAUUGGUUUCUCCUUUCUGAAGAACCAUGAUGUCAUUUAUUUGGUGUCGUGGGGAAUCAGGACUGUUACUUUGAAGAAAUUAGAGUGUUUAAAGCAGGCUCACGCUUGAAUACAUUAGCAUGGAAUAAUGAAAUAGGACGUUUGAUUCUAUUUUGUUGGUUUCUAGGAUCGACGUAAUGAUUAAUAGGGAUAGUUGGGGGCAUUAGUAUUCAAUUGUCAGAGGUGAAAUUCUUGGAUUUAUUGAAGACUAACUACUGCGAAAGCAUUUGCCAAGGAUGUUUUCAUUAAUCAAGAACGAAAGUUAGGGGAUCGAAGACGAUCAGAUACCGUCGUAGUCUUAACCAUAAACUAUGCCGACUAGGGAUCGGAUGAUGUUAAUUUUUAAUG
RNAcentral lists this unclassified non-coding RNA (499 nucleotides) under uncultured Glomus. RNAcentral's name for it is "SSU rRNA". It matches the Rfam family "Eukaryotic small subunit ribosomal RNA", at positions 569 to 1075 of the family's 1831-position model. The record is from RNAcentral. Lineage: Eukaryota; Fungi; Glomeromycota; Glomeromycetes; Glomerales; Glomeraceae.